CCCGAGUGGUGUCUGGGAUACACUUUUGCUGCAAAAGUUCUAUUGGUGUGUAUCCAAUAUGAUUACUGCCCCACUCCUAUAGACUGUAAGCUCGUUUGAGCAGGGUCCUCUUCAACCUUUUGUUCCUGUAAGUUUUCUUGUAAUUGUCCUAUUUAUAGUUAAAUCCCCCCUCUCAUAAUAUUGUAAAGUGCUACGGAAUUGGUUGGCGCUAUAUAAAUGGAGAUAAUAAUACACACAAAGCACAAAUGAUUUGCCAAUGUUUCUCAUGUGACCUUUGCAUAAGCAAAUUUAACGUCAAAUGUAGAAACCACAAUAAAUAG
Non-coding RNA from Pelobates cultripes (western spadefoot toad), 320 nucleotides. The record is from the annotation of a GenBank genome assembly. Lineage: Eukaryota; Metazoa; Chordata; Amphibia; Anura; Pelobatidae.